RNAcentral lists this ribosomal RNA (455 nucleotides) under uncultured bacterium. Its description in RNAcentral is "bacterial SSU rRNA". It matches the Rfam family "Bacterial small subunit ribosomal RNA", at positions 338 to 795 of the family's 1533-position model. The record is from RNAcentral.
CCUACGGGUGGCUGCAGUCAAGAACAUUCGACAAUGGGCGAAAGCCUGAUCGAGCGACGUCGCGUGAUCGAUGAAGUCCUUAGGGACGUAAAGAUCUUUUACACGGGAAGAACCCGCUUUCGGGCGGAAUGACGGUACCGUGGGAAUAAGGGGUUGCUAAACUCGUGCCAGCAGCAGCGGUAAUACGAGUGCCCCAAGCGUUAUCCGGAAUUAUUGGGCGUAAAGGGUGCGUAGGUGGUUGUAUUAGUCUUUUGUUAAAGCCGGGGGCUUAACCCCCGAAGUGCGAAAGAAACGGUACAACUAGAGGGUAUGAGAGGCGUACGGAACUCAUGGUGUAGGGGUGAAAUCCGUUGAUAUCAUGGGGAACACCAAAGGCGAAGGCAGUACGCUGGCAUAUUUCUGACACUGAGGCACGAAAGCGUGGGUAGCGAAUGGGAUUAGAUACCCCUGUAGUC